GUUUAACUCAGAAACUACUACUAUACUUUCUGGGUCUUUAAAUGUCUUUCUGUAUUAUUAAGCUACUACAAAUUCCUCCAGUGUGAGAGCUCUAAUAAUGAAAUUUUGGAAGUAAUAUAAUCUGGGCCUUAUUUCUGAUACUGUUUCAGCACAGCAAGUCACAGGUGCUGAGCUACAGCCCUGGCAGGAGAACAGCUGCCUGAAGGACCCUGAGAAUUCAGCAAGGCUCAUGUGUUUGCAGGCACUGGAGUAAUCCUAUCACACUGGAAUCCAGUCUGCGGAUAGGAGCAAAGGAAAAGGCCCAGGAGAGGGAGUCCCAUGGACAUCUUUUCUUGCAGAAACAGCAGUAUAGCAGCAGCAGCAAUUGGAAUUAAGAGGAAGAAAGGGUAAUAUGAGAACUUUGGAUACAGAGUCUGCCUCUAUAACCCAUCAGUCCCUUUGGCUAGGACCUGGAAAUCUGAGAUGCUAUUUGAAUCACAGAGCUAAAAGAAAACCAUCACAAGGAAAACUUACUGUCCUU
Molecule: non-coding RNA, 520 nt
Organism: Phalacrocorax carbo (great cormorant)
Lineage: Eukaryota; Metazoa; Chordata; Aves; Suliformes; Phalacrocoracidae
Source: RefSeq, a predicted model, not a curated record